Molecule: ribosomal RNA, 497 nt
Filed under: uncultured bacterium
Lineage: Bacteria
Description: partial 16S ribosomal RNA
Rfam family: Bacterial small subunit ribosomal RNA
Source: RNAcentral
GAUGAACGCUGGCGGCGUGCCUAAUACAUGCAAGUCGAACGAAUGGACCAUAAGCUUGCUUUGCUGUUGAUAGGGGAGGACGGGUGAGUAACGCGUGGAAAACCUACCUAUAAGUCUGGGAUAACUUGGGGAAACCGGAGCUAACACCGGAUAAUAUUCUGAAACACAUUGUUCAAAAGUGAAUGACGGUCUUGCUGUCACUUAUGGAUGGAUCCGCGCUGCAUUAGCUAGUUGUUAAGGUAACGGCUUAGCAAGGGAACGAUGCAUAGCCGACCUGAGAGGGGGAUCGGCCACACUGGAACUGAGACACGGUCCAGACUCCUACGGGAGGCAGCAGUAGGGAAUCUUCCGCAAUGGGCGAAAGCCUGACGGAGCAACGCCGCGUGAGUGAUGAAGGUCUUCGGAUCGUAAAACUCUGUUAUUAGGGAAGAACAGAUGUGUAAGUAACUGAACACAUCUUGACGGUAUCUAAUCAGAAAGCCACGGCUAACUACGUG